GACGAACGCUGGCGGCGUGCUUAACACAUGCAAGUCGAACGGACUACUUUGCUUCGGUAAGGUGGUUAGUGGCGAACGGGUGAGUAACGCGUAGACAACCUACCUCUUAGAUGGGGACAACAUCGCGAAAGCGGUGCUAAUACCGAAUGAAGUGACUUUCCUGCAUGGGAGAGAUACUAAAGGUGGCCUCUAUUUAUAAGCUACCACUGAGAGAUGGGUCUGCGUCUGAGUAGCUAGUUGGCGGGGUAACGGCCCACCAAGGCGACGAUCAGUAGCCGGUCUGAGAGGAUGAACAGCCACAUUGGGACUGAGACACGGCCCAAACUCCUACGGGAGGCAGCAGUGGGGAAUCUUCCGCAAUGGACGAAAGUCUGACGGAGCAACGCCGCGUGAGUGAAGAAGGUUUUCGGAUCGUAAAGCUCUGUUGUUUAAGACGAAUGUGCCUGUUUCGAAUAGGGAUAGGUAAUGACGGUAUUAAACGAGAAAGCCACGGCUAACUACGUGCCAGCCGCCGCAGUAA
Molecule: ribosomal RNA, 520 nt
Filed under: uncultured bacterium
Lineage: Bacteria
Description: partial 16S ribosomal RNA
Rfam family: Bacterial small subunit ribosomal RNA
Source: RNAcentral